GACGAACGCUGGCGGCGUGGAUUAGGCAUGCAAGUCGAACGGUAGUAUACUUUCGGGUAUAUGAGAGUGGCGAACGGGUGAGGAACGCGUAGGUAAUCUACCUUCAAGUGGGGGACAACCCGGGGAAACCCGGGCUAAUACCGCAUGUGGCUGAAAAGCUAAAGCCGGCCUCUGAAUAUGCUGGUGCUUGGAGAUGAGCCUGCGUCUGAUUAGCUAGACGGUGGGGUAAUGGCCUACCGUGGCGAUGAUAAGUAGGCGGCUUUAACGAGUGGUCGCCCACACUGGGAUUGAGAUACGGCCCAGACUCCUACGGGAGGCAGCAGUCGAGGAUAGUCUACAAUGGUCGAAAGAUUGAUAGUGCGACGCCGCGUGAACGAAGAAGCAUUUCGGUGUGUAAAGUUCUUUUCUAUGCGAGCAGGGAUUGGGAGGUUAACAGCCUCUUGGUUUUGAUAUUAGUAUAGGAAUAAGCCACGGCUAACUCCGUGCCAGCAGCCGCGGU
This 499-nucleotide ribosomal RNA is filed under the name uncultured bacterium. RNAcentral's name for it is "bacterial SSU rRNA". It matches the Rfam family "Bacterial small subunit ribosomal RNA", at positions 28 to 521 of the family's 1533-position model. The record is from RNAcentral.